Molecule: ribosomal RNA, 231 nt
Filed under: uncultured bacterium
Lineage: Bacteria
Description: partial 16S ribosomal RNA
Rfam family: Bacterial small subunit ribosomal RNA
Source: RNAcentral
UGGGUAACCUGCCUCAAAGAGGGGAAUAGCCUCCCGAAAGGGAGAUUAAUACCGCAUAAUAUGUUUAAGUCGCAUGACUUUAACAUCAAAGGAUUUUCUUUUAGAACUUCCACUUUGAGAUGGACCCGCGGCGCAUUAGCUAGUUGGUGAGGUAACGGCUCACCAAGGCAACGAUGCGUAGCCGACCUGAGAGGGUGAUCGGCCACAUUGGAACUGAGACACGGCCCAGCU